This 1431-nucleotide long non-coding RNA is filed under the name Mytilus galloprovincialis (Mediterranean mussel). The record is from RNAcentral. Lineage: Eukaryota; Metazoa; Mollusca; Bivalvia; Mytilida; Mytilidae.
GCAUAUUCUUGCAUAAGAUACUAACUCUAUGCUAUAUAUUUAUAUUAUUCUGGCUGGUAAUAUGGAAAUUGAAAAGUGAAUAAUUACCAUCAAUUCCGAGGUUAAAAUCACAUGCAUUCGGAAAACCUUCCUGCAUAUAGAUAAUACACAACUUGACUUUGACCAGACUAGAUUUUUGUAACUUUAUGCUUAUAAUGAGCAAAAAUAAAAAUAAACAGUGACAUUUUAAUAUUUAGGUAUAAUAUUAAGAAAAUGUCUCGCAUUUGAUUUGAUAUAAUCAUGGAAUUAUCAUACUAUAUUUUACUUCCAUGUACUAUUCUUAGACUAUUGAAAGCUAUUUGCUAACUAUUAAUCAGUCUUUUAAAUAAAUUGCUUUUCCUACAUUUUGCUGUUAGAUUAACUGCUUCUACACUGGUGCUAAAAUUUGAGAACCAAUUGAAAUGUAUAUAUAUUAUAUGUUUAUAUUGGUACAUCAUGUGUUACUCCAAAAAAAACCUCUUCUUUUUUUCUGCAUCUCGUAAAGACUGACUAAAUAAAAGGUUUAUAUAAAGAGCUGUAUAAUAGAUAGUUUCAAAUCUUGAGAACUACUUCAAUUUCCUAGACCAUGUCUAGCAUUUUAAAUAAAUCCUGCAUCCACAAUGCUUUAAAUCUUAUUUAUUUAUUUUUUUUUUUUUUUUUUUUUUUUUUUUUACAAGAUCUAAAUUAAUGAUAAUCUUGUUUCUAUAAAUCAGCAUAUUUGAGUCCUCUAUACUUCAGAAUUCUGAAUCAAUAUUUAACUCUAGGAAAAACAAUGUGUAGCCAUUGCAUAAACUGUUGGGUUCUACCAAUCUCACAUUAAGAAUAAAACAGACCCAAUGAAUGAAUCCUUAUAGCAGAAACUUGCCCAUCUGUUGGCAUUGCUUAGAAAACUUAAGAUGUAAAUUAAGGCAUAAUUUUCUAUCUUAAAAAGAGCAUCCAAACUCCUUUUGCUUUCAUGAUUGGAAGAUAUAUGUAUAAUUUGACAGUGAUUCCCAUAUAGUGAGGGUAAGAUAGUCUCUUAAGUCUUACGUUAUCACCUCUUUUUUUGUUACUCAAAACAAAACAGAAUUAGUACAUAUUAUAUUUAAUAAAUGCAUUGGCAAUGUACACUCUGAAUUAUGUAAUCAAUAUAUAAGCCAUUACCUUGAAUGAGUCUUUGUGAAAUGCAUCAUGGCAUCCCCUAAACUCUUUAUUCAAUAGACAAUCUAAUGUUUACAUAAAAACAUAUAAAAGCCUUUGUUUCCUUACUGCCGACAAAAACAAACAAUUGGUUAUAGCAGUUCAUACUUAUAAUAUUCAUGUUCUUCUUGUCAUAAGUAAACUGACCAUGAAAUUUAAUAUUAGUAAAAAGAGUUGUCACAAGCUAUCAACUGUAUUUAGAACAGUGCUCCAUUCUUACUGUCUCCAUGUCUG